RNAcentral lists this small RNA (819 nucleotides) under uncultured Sordaria. Its description in RNAcentral is "eukaryotic LSU rRNA". The stretch from base 545 to 819 matches the Rfam family "Eukaryotic large subunit ribosomal RNA", at positions 1 to 281 of the family's 3401-position model. Lineage: Eukaryota; Fungi; Ascomycota; Sordariomycetes; Sordariales; Sordariaceae. The record is from RNAcentral.
CUUGGUCAUUUAGAGGAAGUAAAAGUCGUAACAAGGUCUCCGUUGGUGAACCAGCGGAGGGAUCAUUACAGAGUUGCAAAACUCCCUAAACCAUCGCGAACCCACCCCUAAACAGUUGCUUCGGCGGCGCCCGAAGGCCCUCACCGGCCGGAGUGCCCGCCGGGGACCCCCCAAACUCUUGUUUUUAACAAAAUGGCCUCUCUGAGUACUGUACUUUAAUAAGUCAAAACUUUCAACAACGGAUCUCUUGGUUCUGGCAUCGAUGAAGAACGCAGCGAAAUGCGAUAAGUAAUGUGAAUUGCAGACUUCAGUGAAUCAUCGAAUCUUUGAACGCACAUUGCGCCCGCGAGUAUUCUCGCGGGCAUGCCUGUUCGAGCGUCAUUUCAACCAUCAAGCCCCCGGCUUGUGUUGGGGACCUGCGGCUGCCCGCAGGCCCUGAAAGGAAGUGGCGGGGCUCGCUGCAACUCCGAGCGUAGUAGAAUCCUAUCUCGCUAGGGAGGCGCGGCGCGCUCCAGCCGUUAAAGACCCCAUCUUUAACCAAGGUUGACCUCGGAUCAGGUAGGAAUACCCGCUGAACUUAAGCAUAUCAAUAAGCGGAGGAAAAGAAACCAACAGGGAUUGCCCUAGUAACGGCGAGUGAAGCGGCAACAGCUCAAAUUUGAAAUCUGGCUUCGGCCCGAGUUGUAAUUUGUAGAGGGAGCUUUUGGCGAGGCACCUACUGAGUCCCCUGGAACGGGGCGCCAUAGAGGGUGAGAGCCCCGUAUAGUAGGACGCCGAGCCUUUGUAAAGCCCCUUCGACGAGUCGAGUUGUUUGGGAAU